AUACUUACCUGAAAGGGGAGUUACGAUGAUCACGAAGGUGAUUUUCUCAGGGCACAUCUUAUCCAUUGUAUUCCAGGUGUGCUGAUCUCUGUGAUUUUCCUAAAUAUGACAAACUUGACUGCACAAUUUGUGGUACUGGGAGGACUGCAUUUGCACCCUCCUC
RNAcentral lists this small nuclear RNA (163 nucleotides) under Microcebus murinus (gray mouse lemur). RNAcentral's name for it is "U1 spliceosomal RNA (ENSMICG00000018123.3)". It matches the Rfam family "U1 spliceosomal RNA". Rfam says of the family: U1 is a small nuclear RNA (snRNA) component of the spliceosome (involved in pre-mRNA splicing). Its 5' end forms complementary base pairs with the 5' splice junction, thus defining the 5' donor site of an intron. There are significant differences in sequence and secondary structure between metazoan and yeast U1 snRNAs, the latter being much longer (568 nucleotides as compared to 164 nucleotides in human). Lineage: Eukaryota; Metazoa; Chordata; Mammalia; Primates; Cheirogaleidae. The record is from Rfam by way of RNAcentral.